Molecule: unclassified non-coding RNA, 209 nt
Filed under: Hevea brasiliensis (rubber tree)
Lineage: Eukaryota; Viridiplantae; Streptophyta; Magnoliopsida; Malpighiales; Euphorbiaceae
Source: RNAcentral
CACCGCGAUCAGAAAUCCAAUUUCUACUCUCUCUUCUUCCCCUUAAUUUGCCUUCUUUCCAAAUUCCUUUCACUUCACAUUCCAAAACCCUCAUUCUCCCACUCCCCUUCCUCCUCCUCUUCCACCAUUACGUUUUUUAGCUAUGAAGGACCGGCCACUUUCCUCGUACAGUGCCAUUUAUGUUCCUCCGCACCAACGUCUUCGCUCUG